This 134-nucleotide small nuclear RNA is filed under the name Pteropus vampyrus (large flying fox). RNAcentral describes it as "U4 spliceosomal RNA (ENSPVAG00000030033.1)". The stretch from base 1 to 73 matches the Rfam family "U4 spliceosomal RNA". Rfam says of the family: U4 small nuclear RNA (U4 snRNA) is a component of the major U2-dependent spliceosome. The structure of U4 snRNA from yeast and human has been reported. Lineage: Eukaryota; Metazoa; Chordata; Mammalia; Chiroptera; Pteropodidae. The record is from RNAcentral.
AGCUUUGUGUGGUGGCAAUAUUGUAGCCAAUGAGGUUUAUCCGAGGCACGAUUAUUGCUAAGAAAAAAAGACAGAUGAAAAAGACCUUGGCUUUUGAGCAAGUAAAACAAGCAUCAUGUGACAGGCUCAAAGCU